Molecule: ribosomal RNA, 460 nt
Filed under: uncultured bacterium
Lineage: Bacteria
Description: partial 16S ribosomal RNA
Rfam family: Bacterial small subunit ribosomal RNA
Source: RNAcentral
CCUACGGGGUGCAGCAGUGAGGAAUAUUGGUCAAUGGACGAGAGUCUGAACCAGCCAUGCAGCGUGAAUGAUGACUGCCCUCUGGGUUGUAAACUUCUUUUAUAUGGGAAUAAAAUGUUCCACGUGUGGGCUUUUGUAUGUACCAUAUGAGUAAGGAUAGGCUAACUCCGUGCCAGGAGCCGCGGUAAUACGGAGGGUCCGAGCGUUAACCGGAUUUAUUGGGUUUAAGGGGAGCGUAGGUGGAUUGUUAAGUCAGUUGUGAAAUUUCGCGGCUCAACCGGAAAACUGCAGUUGAAACUGGCAGUCUUGAGUACAGUAGAGGUGGGUGGAAUUCGUGGUGUAGCGGUGAAAUGCUUAGAGAUCACGAAGAACUCCGAUUGCGAAGGCAGCUCCCUGGACUGCGACUGACGCUGAGGCGCGAAAGUGUGGGGAGCAAACAGGAUUAGAUACCCGAGUAGUC